GCUUGGAUAGUUCAGUUGGUAGAGAAUGAAUGAGACUCUUAAUCUCAGGGGUUGUGGGUUCAAGCACCACAUCUGGCA
Podarcis lilfordi (Lilford's wall lizard) is the source of this 78-nucleotide non-coding RNA. The record is from the annotation of a GenBank genome assembly. NCBI's taxonomy places the organism in Eukaryota, Metazoa, Chordata, Lepidosauria, Squamata, Lacertidae.